This 274-nucleotide ribosomal RNA is filed under the name uncultured bacterium. Its description in RNAcentral is "partial 16S ribosomal RNA". It matches the Rfam family "Bacterial small subunit ribosomal RNA", at positions 523 to 796 of the family's 1533-position model. The record is from RNAcentral.
AUACGGAGGGGGCUAGCGUUGUUCGGAAUUACUGGGCGUAAAGCGCGCGUAGGCGGAUUGAUCAGUCAGGGGUGAAAUCCCGAGGCUUAACCUCGGAACUGCCUCUGAUACUGUCAAUCUUGAGUUCGAGAGAGGUGAGUGGAAUUCCUAGUGUAGAGGCGAAAUUCGUAGAUAUUAGGAAGAACACCAGUGGCGAAGGCGGCUCACUGGCUCGAUACUGACGCUGAGGUGCGAAAGCGUGGGGAGCAAACAGGAUUAGAAACCCUAGUAGUCC